GAUGAACGCUGGCGGCGUGCCUAAUACAUGCAAGUCGAACGCGCAGCGAAAGGUGCUUGCACCUUUCAAGCGAGUGGCGAACGGGUGAGUAACACGUGGAUAACCUGCCUCAAGGCUGGGGAUAACAUUUGGAAACAGAUGCUAAUACCGAAUAAAACUUAGUAUCGCAUGAUACAAAGUUAAAAGGCGCUACGGCGUCACCUAGAGAUGGAUCCGCGGUGCAUUAGUUAGUUGGUGGGGUAAAGGCUUACCAAGACGAUGAUGCAUAGCCGAGUUGAGAGACUGAUCGGCCACAUUGAGACAGAGACACGGCACAAACUCUUACGGGAGGCUGCAGUAGGGAAUCUUCCACAAUGGGCGCAAGCCUGAUGGAGCAACGCCGCGUGUGUGAUGAAGGCUUUCGGGUCGUAAAGCACUGUUGUAUGGGAAGAAAUGCUAAAAUAGGGAAUGAUUUUAGUUUGACGGUACCAUACCAGAAAGGGACGGCUAAAUACGUGCCAGCCGCCGCGGUAA
This 513-nucleotide ribosomal RNA is filed under the name uncultured bacterium. RNAcentral's name for it is "partial 16S ribosomal RNA". It matches the Rfam family "Bacterial small subunit ribosomal RNA", at positions 28 to 523 of the family's 1533-position model. The record is from RNAcentral.